Molecule: ribosomal RNA, 253 nt
Filed under: uncultured bacterium
Lineage: Bacteria
Description: partial 16S ribosomal RNA
Rfam family: Bacterial small subunit ribosomal RNA
Source: RNAcentral
UACAGAGGUCCCAAGCGUUGUUCGGAUUCACUGGGCGUAAAGGGUGCGUAGGUGGUGAGGUAAGUCGGAUGUGAAAUCUCCGAGCUCAACUCGGAAAUUGCAUUGGAAACUACCUUGCUUGAGGGUUGGAGGGGGGACUGGAAUGCUUGGUGUAGCAGUGAAAUGCGUAGAUAUCAAGCGGAACACCAGUGGCGAAGGCGAGUCCCUGGACAACACCUGACACUGAGGCACGAAAGCUAGGGGAGCAAACAGG